Molecule: unclassified non-coding RNA, 255 nt
Filed under: Hevea brasiliensis (rubber tree)
Lineage: Eukaryota; Viridiplantae; Streptophyta; Magnoliopsida; Malpighiales; Euphorbiaceae
Source: RNAcentral
UGAUGGCUUGCCUACUGAAGGUAUAGAGAUUACUUGUUUCCAUAUGGAUGGGGCGCACUAUAUGAUCUAUGCACCAUCUGAUCCACUUCUAUUUGUUGCUGUCAAGGAUAAAAAUGGUCUGUUGCAAAUUGCAGAUGAUGAACUGCUGGAGGACGCUGCUAUCAUUGCUGCUAUAGACGAGGAAACAGAAUUCAAUGCUUUGGUGGAGGAAGAAGCUGCUCUUCUCGAGUCUUUGUUGGGGGAAAGAUAGCGAUG